UCAAAAUUCCCACCCGAUCUG
Molecule: non-coding RNA, 21 nt
Organism: Caenorhabditis elegans
Lineage: Eukaryota; Metazoa; Nematoda; Chromadorea; Rhabditida; Rhabditidae
Source: Ensembl